This 404-nucleotide ribosomal RNA is filed under the name Actinomycetes bacterium. Its description in RNAcentral is "Actinobacteria bacterium partial 16S ribosomal RNA". It matches the Rfam family "Bacterial small subunit ribosomal RNA", at positions 355 to 776 of the family's 1533-position model. Lineage: Bacteria; Bacillati; Actinomycetota; Actinomycetes. The record is from RNAcentral.
UGGGGAAUAUUGGACAAUGGGCGCAAGCCUGAUCCAGCCAUGCCGCGUGAGUGAUGAAGGCCCUAGGGUUGUAAAGCUCUUUCACCGGUGAAGAUAAUGACGGUAACCGGAGAAGAAGCCCCGGCUAACUUCGUGCCAGCAGCCGCGGUAAUACGAAGGGGGCUAGCGUUGUUCGGAUUUACUGGGCGUAAAGCGCACGUAGGCGGACUUUUAAGUCAGGGGUGAAAUCCCGGGGCUCAACCCCGGAACUGCAUUUGAUACUGGAAGUCUUGAGUAUGGUAGAGGUGAGUGGAAUUCCGAGUGUAGAGGUGAAAUUCGUAGAUAUUCGGAGGAACACCAGUGGCGAAGGCGGCUCACUGGACCAUUACUGACGCUGAGGUGCGAAAGCGUGGGGAGCAAACAGG